This 358-nucleotide unclassified non-coding RNA is filed under the name uncultured Russula. RNAcentral describes it as "sequence contains ITS1". The stretch from base 1 to 105 matches the Rfam family "5.8S ribosomal RNA", at positions 50 to 154 of the family's 154-position model. The record is from RNAcentral. Lineage: Eukaryota; Fungi; Basidiomycota; Agaricomycetes; Russulales; Russulaceae.
GAAAUGCGAUACGUAAUGUGAAUUGCAGAAUUCAGUGAAUCAUCGAAUCUUUGAACGCACCUUGCGCCCCUUGGUAUUCCGAGGGGCACACCCGUUUGAGUGUCGUGAAUACUCUCAACCUUCUUGGUUUCUUUGACCAGGAAGGCUUGGACUUUGGAGGCUUUUCUUGCUGGCCUUCUUUUGAAGCCAGCUCCUCCUAAACGAAUCGGUGGGGUCCGCUUUGCUGAUCCUUGACGUGAUAAGCAUUUCUUCUACGUCAAGUCAGCUCGGAACCUGCUUUCUAACCUUUGAGUUACAACAUAACUCGACCCUCAUAAACCUUGACCUCAAAUCGGGUGAGACUACCCGCUGAACUUAA